Molecule: ribosomal RNA, 438 nt
Filed under: uncultured bacterium
Lineage: Bacteria
Description: bacterial SSU rRNA
Rfam family: Bacterial small subunit ribosomal RNA
Source: RNAcentral
GAUUAACGCUGGCGGCAUGCCUUAUGCAUGCAAGUAGAACGAGGUGUAGCAAUACACCGAGUUGCGAACGGCUGAGUAAUGGAUAGGAAUCUCCCUUUUGGCGCGGAAUACCUUAUCGAAAGAUAAGCUAAUACCACAUAAGAUCGCAAGAUGAAAGCCCUUUACCGGGCACCGAAAGAUGAGCCUAUCUCCCAUCAGGUAGUUGGUAGGGUAAUGGCCUACCAAGCCAAUGACGGGUACCCGCCCUGAGAGGGGAAACGGGCAGAAUGGGACUGAGACACGGCCCAUACACCUACGGGUGGCAGCAACAGGGAAUCGUACGCAAUGGACGAAAAUCUGACGUCGCAAUGCCGCGUGGAGGAUGAAGGCCUUCGGGUCGUAAACUCCUUUUACAGUAAUAGAGAUGUUAUUGAGAAUAAGCAACUGCUAACUCUGUGC